UAGAAAAUGGUGUAGUGGAAGCACUUAGAGUUUUGAUCUCUGUUGGAUGGGUUCGAGUCCCUUUUUUCUAA
RNAcentral lists this transfer RNA (71 nucleotides) under Ilisha elongata (elongate ilisha). RNAcentral's name for it is "tRNA-Gln". It matches the Rfam family "tRNA". Rfam says of the family: Transfer RNA (tRNA) molecules are approximately 80 nucleotides in length. Their secondary structure includes four short double-helical elements and three loops (D, anti-codon, and T loops). Lineage: Eukaryota; Metazoa; Chordata; Actinopteri; Clupeiformes; Pristigasteridae. The record is from RNAcentral. RNAcentral also lists the same sequence under 2 other names.